This 484-nucleotide ribosomal RNA is filed under the name uncultured bacterium. Its description in RNAcentral is "partial 16S ribosomal RNA". It matches the Rfam family "Bacterial small subunit ribosomal RNA", at positions 30 to 507 of the family's 1533-position model. The record is from RNAcentral.
AUUGAACGCUGGCGGCAGGCCUAACACAUGCAAGUCGAGCGGAUGAAGGGAGCUUGCUCCUGGAUUCAGCGGCGGACGGGUGAGUAAUGCCUAGGAAUCUGCCUGGUAGUGGGGGAUAACGUCCGGAAACGGGCGCUAAUACCGCAUACGUCCUGAGGGAGAAAGAGGGGGAUCUUCGGACCUCACGCUAUCAGAUGAGCCUAGGUCGGAUUAGCUAGUUGGUGGGGUAAAGGCCUACCAAGGCGACGAUCCGUAACUGGUCUGAGAGGAUGAUCAGUCACACUGGAACUGGGACACGGUCAAGACUCCUACGGGAGGCAGCGGUGGGGAAUAUUGGACAAUGGGCGAAAGCCUGAUCCAGCCAUGCCGCGUGUUUGAAGAAGGUCUUCGGAUUGUAAAGCACUUUAAGUUGGGAGGAAGGGCAGUAAGUUAAUACCUUGCUGUUUUGACGUUACCAACAGAAUAAGCACCGGCUAACUUCGUG